AAUAAAAAAUUAAAUGAUUGUUUUAUUAAUUUAACUACUUCUCAUGCAAUAAAUCAACAUCACAGCAUAUUUUCUUCUCGUUUUUAUUUGCAUACAUAAAAUUGCAUUGCAUUUCACUGGGGACUUGGAAAAAAAAUAAGAAAAAUUACAGAUAUGACGCGACUAAAACGAAUUCAAAAGAAGGCAGAUUCAAUGUUCUAUAAAUGACACUUGAAAGAUUGGCCAUACAAUUAUGUAAAUUGCUUGUAUGAAACAUGUUGGUUGAUAAGUAAUAAUUAUUUUAAUAUGAGUGUAAGAUUUGUUAUGCCUGUUUUCAACUGUUUUUUCUUUGCAGAAUAUGAUUGACAGAAUUAAAACAAGCAAUUUUCAUUUUCUUCACUUCGAACAUUCUAGGACAUAAAGGAUAUUCACAAUUAAUGUUUUUCAAUUACGUUCAUGAACGUUGAUAAAUUAUUCGAUGGUAGUAAAUACUGUGACAGAGUGUCCAAUAUUCAAUUUCUGCACUGUUCGCGCCUAGAUUUGUUACGAGUUAUUAUUCACACAGUAUAUAUCAUGUCGAUAACCAUUUCAAUUAGCCAAUGAAAGCAUUUUCGAGGCAAUCUCAUAGCCAAGAUCUUGUUUCACGAGACCACCUGGUAUGCAACAAGUCCGACAACUUGUAGACAGAGUCACGAGUGAAGAAUAUAUCGCCCUCUAUCUUGUUUGUAUACGAUCAUUAUGGAUUAUAUUGAUGUAUUCAGUAUCUUUACGAAAGUCUUGCUCAGUGACAUGUGUUACAAAAGGCACACCUUCAAUCUUAAGUAUUAGGCAAUUUAUGGAGAAAUAGAAAAUUCAAUAAAAAUGAAGACGAAGUUACGACAAACUUUAUCAAACUUCUAAAAUACGUACAAUUUUCUAACAUGAAAUGUGAAAUUUACGAUUGAAGUAUUCAAAUAUUAUAUUUAAACAUUUAUGAUAUUCUAUAUAACAGUAUCACUUUGUGAAAGGAUACGGAAUUGAAAUCAUUGAUGAACAUGGUAAUAAUAUUUUACGAAUCGAACGAAACUAUGGCGAAAAUACACGUGAGAUAUCGUAAUUUUCCAUAUUCGGUAGCAAUGUAAAUGAUGUCUCGUUGAUAUUGAUAUUCUAUUGUAUUAUUUUUAUCGAUGAACGUCUGUCACGUUUGAGAAUUCUUGUGGGAGGAUCCAUGCAAAGAUAUACAUUAUGGAUUCCAAAAUUGGCUUUGACAUAUAGACCAUAAAACACAGAGUUUACAAGCUUGAAAAUAGCCCGGGUUCCCGAGGUUAUUUGAGUUCUUAAAAACCAAUCAAUUCUCUUUCUUUCCCUUUCUCUAAAUUUACAAGCCCAUAACUAAUAGAUUUCUUAACACUUAAGGAAAAAAGAUACAUAAUUCCUAUAUUUUCUUCUGUAUGAAGAGCAUCUAACUACGUAAUAAUACCUGUUACGUUUCGCACAAAUCAACAGAUGAUUUAUGGGCAACAAAUCCACGACAACUAUAACACACGCUUACGUGUAGAUUUAUAAAUACCAACAUCCACGCGUUUUUAUAAAUCCGACAUUAAUCAAUUGCAUGACAUUCGUGCAAUUUAUUAUAAGAUUUGUUAAUCUCCUUAAGGAACCUCCUAAUCAAUUUUUAAAAGAGGCAAGUGCACUACCACCAGCCGAGAUUCAUCGAGAUUCGACGAGGCGUCAAAUCAAAAAAUUCCCUCUCCUACCGAAAGAGAAAAGGAAAUUUCUUUCUCCUCGUGAAGGGACGAUUAACAAACCGAGCCUCAUAAAUUUUCUCGGUAAGGUCGGCCCAACGAGGGCGCACGCAUCUUUUAUAGCCCUGGACGUGACAGAGGGAUCGAUGGAUACGAUUCCGCUCGGAUUGUGCACACAGCGACAAAUCGUGUUCACGACUUCCGAUCUCGAUUCUCGAUUACCCCUCCGUACCGGUGUCGAUAAUUAUAAACAAAAGGGGAAAAGGGGGACGGAAUGAGGGGUCGCGGAGCGACGAGAAAGAGAGAGAGAGAGAGAGAAGGCUUCUUGGAAAGGGCGUUUAUAAAUCACGAAUCGCAGGCAACCCCUAAUCUUCCACCCUGUUUCUCGAGCCUCGCUGUCUUCCUCCUGUAGUACUUUUCUUCCCCGCUCCACUCGUAUUUUGAUUUUGCACGCGAAACCACCAUCACUCCACCAUUCAUCAUCCGACGCAGAGCUGCCUUCUCUCUUUCUGUUUCCGCUUUUCCAGCCCCUUAUAUAUAUAAAAUAUAUAUAUAUAAGCAAUCUCCCUCCAUGGCCCGAUGAAAUUCGUCUCGAAUCACUGGAUAAUUAAGCGGCGAGCGAGUGAAAUAAAGGAAGAGGAGAUUCGAGAAGGCGAUCACCUCCGGCCAGCGUGGAAUGAUAAUGGGAAUAAUAUCUUCAUGGUUGGCGAGCUACGGCCAAGUAUAACGGUCAACGAUUCCAUCCGUGCGUCCGUACGCGGAGGAACUGGCAAUGAUUCAUAAGAAUUGGAAUGGGGAAGGGUGGGCCGGAGGGGAGGCGUGGAUUAAUUGAUACCGAGAAUGGGAAUUAAGGCUGGAAUCGGCGAAGGUUUCGCGAUGCUGCUUGGGAGAAGAUUAAUCGCGCGCGAACGAGACGGGGAAAGUUUGGAAAAUUGGAUAAUCCUUGUUGUAAUUUUUUUUAGGAAUUUUUUAAUUCUCUGUUCUUCUAGUUUAUACGGAGUGAGGACUAAUGAUUGUUAACAAGAAAAAGGAAGAAAUGAAUAUGGAAAAAAUUAAGAUACAAGGUUAAGGUUGAGAUCUUUUGUGUAUUCAAUUAUUUUAUCGUAUGAGAUCCACUUUUCAAGUCGAACGAUAGUGUUACAGUCGAUAUUUUCACGAGAAUUUACGAGUCGUUGGUCAGAGAACGAUACUUUAAUAAACCUAUAUUCGAUGCAUCGUGCAUAAGAGAACUUCGAACGUAUAUAAUAAAUCCUUGUUCAGACUUAUUGUUCCUUGGGGGCCCGACGCGAGGAAGAGAACAAGUAAAAGAAGAAAUCUUCAUAAUAGAGACUCCUACGGUACCUUCGUGAACAAAUGUGAGAACAUCGAAGCUGCUUGUUACCAAAGGAUUCAUGCUUCUUCGACAGAAUCGAGCUCCUAGAAACUCUAUUUAAAUUCCUUUACACCGUGUAACCGUGAUUAAGUACAAGUUAUCCUAGCAAUUGAUGAUUUUUGUCCAAAAGAAAAGUAAAAUCAUUCUUCUUCUCAAAGAGUAAAAAAAUCAAAGAACAGAAGAAAAACAAUUAAUCAAAAAACUCGAACUUGAAAGAGGACAACCAAAGGAUACCGCAACCAGCUUUUACGAGAAGAAUAUAUAAAUUUAUAUAUCGAAAGAUAUACACUCUUUCUGUAAUUACAGUUGUCGACAGGAUGAUAAAGUAACCUUAGAACCUUUCACACACGCGAAUUCCUCCUGCGAGCAUCGCCAAUUUUUCGUUCCUCAUCGAUGAAAACGUACACGACAUAUACAUAUAUCUAUACGUGUAUAUAUAUAUAUAUAUAUAUACAUUGACUCGCUAAAAUAUAUUAAUCGGUCGUACGACAAGUAGAAAAAUGGAAUUAUCCCGGGCACAUCCACUGUCGUCACAGUCGAGAACGAUUGAUCGUUGGUGGAUGAUGAUCAAUCGACGAGGCAGCAGGCCGGACGUCAAAACGGCGCGGUAUCCUGAAUGAUCUGUGACCAAUACGAGUCCCCUCAUCGGGGAAGUUCCUUCGCACCGUCCCGUGCUGCAGGGAGUCUGCGUGGUUACAGGUGUCCGUCGAGCCGUCCCGCAGGAUUUGCCGGUCGUCGUGGAGGUGGAAUCCUCCUACUACUACUCUAUUUCCUCCUACUUCACCUACUCGUUUUUCGUUGGACGAGGAACCGGCCACGGGGAUGGCGAUCAGAGUGUGAACGCGAGCACACGAGUAAGGGAGGAGGCGAGAAACUGGUCAAAGAUCCGUGGCUACGAGCAGCUAGAGCCUCUGGUGAACGGAGAGGAUCGUACCUGCAACGAGAGGAUCCACCGGUGUUCAUCGUAUCGAGCAAGGAGCAAAGCGAUACGACGCUUUGUCGACGUUAUAAAAAUAAUCAGAAUGAUUUUUAUUAGGACUUGGAAAAGCGAGAAUUUUGGAUUUGGUCUUUUAAAAAUGUUUUAGCAUCCCUUGCUGUAAAUAUAGCGAUAUAUUCUUUGCUGUAUUGUUUAAAUGAAGCAGAUGCAAGGGGAAGAUGAAAGUGUCAAGAAUUCAGGACAAGUAAUUCUCUAAUUAAGUAUUCUUACCGUAAUAUCGUCACUUACGUUUAUAGUUCUACUAAAAUUGCACAUAUAUUUCCCUUCUUAAACGUAAAUGAUAAAAUAAGUUAAUUUAUGAAAAUUUGUAUUAUGGUAUAAUUUAAUUUUUUAAUAAUUUAAUUUUCCGUUCAACUCAAAAUAGGAUUUGAGAUUGUUCUAUUUUUAUUCGUAAUAUAUUUACUGUUUAUCCAAAGAAUGUGGUAAGCCGGGCAAACAGUUAACUAUUGAACCAAUUACGUGUACGAUUUGCCAAUUAGUUUCGAAGAGAAAGCGGGAUCGUAUAUUAUUCGAGAACUCCAAGUUACCAUUAGAAAUAUUACACAGAAAGUAUCUAGAAAGAGCCGGUUGUUUAUUCUCCAGUAGUCGUUUGGUUUUCUAAUUUUUCGUUUUUCUCUAAUAUUUUGAUAUUUUCAUUAAAUAAUUUUGUCGAAGAAAGAAAAACGAAAGAAAUACGGAAGAAUCUAUUUUCGAUUUGAACAAUGGAUUUCUACUUUCAUUCGUCUCUUUUUCGCUAAUAAAUUAUGCUCAAUCUUUCGAUUUAUUCGUUUUAUUAUUAUGCUCUAAUAAAGUAAUAUACGUGUAUUCUUAUAUUUUAUAAAUAUCGAAGAUUAAUGUUGUAAAAAUUCAUAUUUAUAUAAAUACAUUUCCAUUUUAUUUUUAAUUACGUCAAUGGAUAGAAUUUACGUAAUGCGCGAACACAAAAUGCUUACCCCAAACUGUUUUGUAGCCUGUGCGGAUCGAGGAUUCGCGUAAUAUGGCGUACAAAUCGUUACAAGAGCGUUAAUGGUAAUUAACAAAUGAGGCAAUUAAUACUAAUGACUGUUCAAUUUGUUGAUUACUUGAAGAGAUUGAACGCGUGCAAAACGUUCGUACAAAACUUUAUUUCGAAAUCCCAUAUAAUUCAAUAGCCUCUCCUUUUUCCCCUCCAAUAACAUUUAUGAAUCUUUAAUUUUUCAAACCUGGAUUCACUCGUCGAUUCGAUUUAAAUC
Long non-coding RNA from Apis mellifera (honey bee), 5283 nucleotides. RefSeq lists it as uncharacterized. The record is from RefSeq and is a predicted model, not a curated record. The transcript is spliced from 8 exons. Lineage: Eukaryota; Metazoa; Arthropoda; Insecta; Hymenoptera; Apidae.